UUCCCAAAAACGAUAUCAGAUUUCUCAAUCUCAGAAUCAAAUAUCUCUCUCAUCAUCUCUUUCAUCAACUCUCAUCAAAGAAUACUUAGAUCUGAAAAGUGCAUUAGGUUUGAAAUCAGAUCUCUCAUAAUCAAGUCUCUCUUUCAUCGUGUCUUCCUGCUCCGAUUGAUGACGAUGAACUUAGCCAAAUCGAACUCUUUAUUGUUUCUGAUCUAGGUAUUCUUCGGUGAGCUCUCUGGUUAGUAUCAAAUCUUUUUCAUCGUCUUUUUCUCCGACUUCGACGAAACAAGCUCAGAUCAGGAGAGCUUUAAAUCAAACUACUUCAGUGCAAAUUUGAGUUGUUGAGGCAAAGAUGUCUUUGGAUUAUAGCGAACCUAUUAUUGCUGAUGAUGCCGAGUUGGAUGACGAUGUAUCUCAAGGACCCACAAAGAAGAUUUGAAAAUUGACUUCAAAGGCAUGGAAUGACUUUGUCAAAUUUAAAGGACCUAAUAGAAAUGACAUAGCUAGAUGUAAGCAUUGCAAUAGGGAAUUUUUUUGGAAAGAGUAGGAAAGGGACUAGUCAUUUAAAAAAUCAUUUGUCGAAGACAUGUCCAAUACUUAAAAGACCAAAUGCCCUUAGGAAUGCUAGUAAGGCUACUUCUAAAUCUACUCCUAAGGCUGCAACUUUUAAAUUUGAUCAAGAGAGAAGUCGUAUGGAUUUUUCUAGGAUGGUAAUCAAGAAUAAUUAUCCUUUUAACAUGGCUGAGUAUGAAUUUUUUGAAAUAUUUUACAACAAUCUUCAACAAA
Non-coding RNA from Camellia sinensis, 786 nucleotides. The record is from RefSeq and is a predicted model, not a curated record. Lineage: Eukaryota; Viridiplantae; Streptophyta; Magnoliopsida; Ericales; Theaceae.